CCGCCAGAGAACUACAAGUGAAAAACUUAAAACUCAAAGGACUUGGCGGUGUCCCACAUUCGACCUAGAGGAGCCUGUCCUAUAAUCGAUACUCCCCGCUCUACCUCACCAGCACUAGCACCAACUUCAGCCUAUAUACCGCCGUCGACAGCUUACCCCCUGAGGGUUUAACAGUAAGCACAAUAGUCCUACCACUAACACGUCAGGUCAAGGUGUAGCUAAUGUGCUGGCAGAGAUUGGCUACAUUUUUUAUUUUAAAAAACACGAAAUGCUAUAUGAAAAACAGCAUGAAGGCGAAUUUAGUAGUAAAAC
This 312-nucleotide ribosomal RNA is filed under the name Gallotia galloti (Gallot's lizard). Its description in RNAcentral is "partial 12S ribosomal RNA". It matches the Rfam family "Bacterial small subunit ribosomal RNA", at positions 869 to 1344 of the family's 1533-position model. Lineage: Eukaryota; Metazoa; Chordata; Lepidosauria; Squamata; Lacertidae. The record is from RNAcentral.